CUGCCCAAUGAUUUAUUAAAUGGCUGCAGUAUAAAUAACUGUACAAAGGUAGCAUAAUAAUUUGUUUUUUAAUUAAAAACUUGUAUAAAAGAUUUAAUGAAAUAAAAACUGUCUCAAUUAAAUAAAAUAAAUUUAUUAUUUAAGUAAAAAAACUUAAAUAAAAUUAAUAGACGAUAAGACCCUAUAGAAUUUUAUUAAUAAUUAAUAAAAUUUAAAUAAAUAAAAUUAUAUUUAAAAAUUAUUAAUUUUUUUGGGGUAAAUAAAAAAUUAAAAAAAUUUUUUUAAAAAAAUACAUAAAUUAAUGAAAAAAAUAUCUUAAAUUUUAAAUUAAUAAAAUUAAUUACCUUAGGGAUAACAGCAUAAUUUUUUUUAAAAGUUCAUAUUAAUAAAAAAGAUUAUGACCUCGAUGUUGAAUUAAGAUAAAAUUAAAAUGAAAAAAUUUUAAAAUUUAAGUCUGUUCGACUUUUAAAAUCUUACAUGAUUUGA
Molecule: ribosomal RNA, 486 nt
Filed under: Spinaria fuscipennis
Lineage: Eukaryota; Metazoa; Arthropoda; Insecta; Hymenoptera; Braconidae
Description: partial 16S ribosomal RNA
Rfam family: Archaeal large subunit ribosomal RNA (bases 351-486)
Source: RNAcentral